UUCUUAUCAAGAGCAGGCGGAGGGACUAGCCCGAUGAAGCCCGGCAACCGGCGUUAAAUACGCACGGUGCUAAUUCUUGCGGAAACCAUUAAGUUUCUGAGAGAUGAGGA
Molecule: non-coding RNA, 110 nt
Filed under: Paenibacillus sp.
Lineage: Bacteria; Bacillati; Bacillota; Bacilli; Caryophanales; Paenibacillaceae
Description: SAM-I sequence
Rfam family: SAM riboswitch aptamer (S box leader)
About the family: The SAM riboswitch is found upstream of a number of genes which code for proteins involved in methionine or cysteine biosynthesis in Gram-positive bacteria. The SAM riboswitch acts at the level of transcription termination control.
Source: RNAcentral